GCUUAUGGCCAUACCACCCUGAGCACGCCUGAUCUCGUCUGAUCUCGGAAGCUAAGCAGUGUCGGGCCUGGUUAGAACUUGGAUGGGAGACCGCCUGGGAAUACCAGGUGCUGUAAGCU
This 119-nucleotide ribosomal RNA is filed under the name Betta splendens (Siamese fighting fish). Lineage: Eukaryota; Metazoa; Chordata; Actinopteri; Anabantiformes; Osphronemidae. The record is from RNAcentral.